GGACAAGAAGCGAAAAAUCGCUAUCGGUUUCGACCCGGUCCUUGGUCCCUGACCCUUGUUCU
This 62-nucleotide transfer RNA is filed under the name Tetraclita japonica (Japanese acorn barnacle). RNAcentral describes it as "tRNA-Arg". The record is from RNAcentral. Lineage: Eukaryota; Metazoa; Arthropoda; Thecostraca; Balanomorpha; Tetraclitidae.